GCACAACGCGAAGAACCUUACCCACCUUUGACAUGUACGGAAUCCUUUAGAGAUAGAGGAGUACUCGAAAGAGAACCGUAACACAGGUGCUGCAUGGCUGUCGUCAGCUCGUGUCGUGAGAUGUUGGGUUAAGUCCCGCAACGAGCGCAACCCUUGCCAUUAGUUGCUACGAAAGGGCACUCUAAUGGGACUGCCGGUGACAAACCGGAGGAAGGUGGGGAUGACGUCAAGUCCUCAUGGCCCUUAUAGGUGGGGCUACACACGUCAUACAAUGGCUGGUACAAAGGGUUGCCAACCCGCGAGGGGGAGCUAAUCCCAUAAAGCCAGUCGUAGUCCGGAUCGCAGUCUGCAACUCGACUGCGUGAAGUCGGAAUCGCUAGUAAUCGUGGAUCAGAAUGUCACGGUGAAUACGUUCCCGGGUCUUGUACACACCG
This 434-nucleotide ribosomal RNA is filed under the name uncultured bacterium. Its description in RNAcentral is "bacterial SSU rRNA". It matches the Rfam family "Bacterial small subunit ribosomal RNA", at positions 954 to 1392 of the family's 1533-position model. The record is from RNAcentral.